UACGAAGGGGGCUAGCGUUGCUCGGAAUUACUGGGCGUAAAGCGCACGUAGGCGGCUUUCUAAGUCGGGGGUGAAAUCCUGGAGCUCAACUCCAGAACUGCCUUCGAUACUGGAAAGCUCGAGUCCGGGAGAGGUGAGUGGAACUGCGAGUGUAGAGGUGAAAUUCGUAGAUAUUCGCAAGAACACCAGUGGCGAAGGCGGCUCACUGGCCGGGUACUGACGCUGAGGUGCGAAAGCGUGGGGAGCAAACAGG
RNAcentral lists this ribosomal RNA (253 nucleotides) under uncultured bacterium. RNAcentral describes it as "partial 16S ribosomal RNA". It matches the Rfam family "Bacterial small subunit ribosomal RNA", at positions 524 to 776 of the family's 1533-position model. The record is from RNAcentral.